AUUGAACGCUGGCGGCAUGCUUUACACAUGCAAGUCGGACGGCAGCACAGAGAAGCUUGCUUCUUGGGUGGCGAGUGGCGAACGGGUGAGUAACAUAUCGGAACGUACCGAGUAGUGGGGGAUAACUGGUCGAAAGAUCAGCUAAUACCGCAUACGUCUUGAGAGGGAAAGCAGGGGACCUUCGGGCCUUGCGCUAUUCGAGCGGCCGAUAUCUGAUUAGCUAGUUGGUGGGGUAAAGGCCUACCAAGGCGACGAUCAGUAGCGGGUCUGAGAGGAUGAUCCGCCACACUGGGACUGAGACACGGCCCAGACUCCUACGGGAGGCAGCAGUGGGGAAUUUUGGACAAUGGGCGCAAGCCUGAUCCAGCCAUGCCGCGUGUCUGAAGAAGGCCUUCGGGUUGUAAAGGACUUUUGUCAGGGAAGAAAAGGCUGUUGCUAAUAUCAGCGGCUGA
Molecule: ribosomal RNA, 452 nt
Filed under: Neisseria meningitidis
Lineage: Bacteria; Pseudomonadati; Pseudomonadota; Betaproteobacteria; Neisseriales; Neisseriaceae
Description: bacterial SSU rRNA
Rfam family: Bacterial small subunit ribosomal RNA
Source: RNAcentral